Molecule: long non-coding RNA, 465 nt
Organism: Alosa sapidissima (American shad)
Lineage: Eukaryota; Metazoa; Chordata; Actinopteri; Clupeiformes; Clupeidae
Exons: 3
Source: RefSeq, a predicted model, not a curated record
AACUGGGACUCACUAUAGGUCGUAACAUUACUGUAAAUGAGCACCUAUAAGUAUUUCUGGACUAAAAUAUUGCAAAGCGAUUUGGUCACUUUAUUUGUCAUGCUUUUAUCAGUUGUAACAUAAUCAAAACGUUAAGCAUAUCAUAUCAGAACAUGAAAUAACAACUAGCUGCCAUAGCUAUCCUAGCUGACGCUUAUCGUAGCUCAUAGUGCUAGGGCUAAUGUAAGUCGUCAGUUUGUACGUUGCCCAGCGAAUAAGUAGGCUUAAUUCUUACAUGUCUUAAGUUAAAGAAUUGAAAGAAAUAGGAAAUAAAGAAAACGCUUGAACGGGUUUAUCCAUUUACAUUCAGAUCUUGCCAUAGACUUUGCCUAAGCGCUUGCUUGGUAGUCUACCGUCCUGUUCAGUCUAUGGUUGCUAUAGCAACCGCUGCUGUGCUUCAUAAACUGACGAGAUAACCGUGCUUGA